This 74-nucleotide transfer RNA is filed under the name Actinomycetota bacterium. Its description in RNAcentral is "tRNA-Ala". It matches the Rfam family "tRNA". Rfam says of the family: Transfer RNA (tRNA) molecules are approximately 80 nucleotides in length. Their secondary structure includes four short double-helical elements and three loops (D, anti-codon, and T loops). Further hydrogen bonds mediate the characteristic L-shaped molecular structure. tRNAs have two regions of fundamental functional importance: the anti-codon, which is responsible for specific mRNA codon recognition, and the 3' end, to which the tRNAs corresponding amino acid is attached (by aminoacyl-tRNA synthetases). tRNAs cope with the degeneracy of the genetic code in two manners: having more than one tRNA (with a specific anti-codon) for a particular amino acid; and 'wobble' base-pairing, i.e. permitting non-standard base-pairing at the 3rd anti-codon position. The record is from RNAcentral. Lineage: Bacteria; Bacillati; Actinomycetota.
GGGGGUGUAGCUCAGCCUGGCAGAGCGCUUCGUUCGCAACGAAGAAGUCGUCGGUUCAAAUCCGAUCACCUCCA